RNAcentral lists this ribosomal RNA (405 nucleotides) under uncultured bacterium. RNAcentral's name for it is "bacterial SSU rRNA". It matches the Rfam family "Bacterial small subunit ribosomal RNA", at positions 370 to 772 of the family's 1533-position model. The record is from RNAcentral.
AAUGGGCGCAAGCCUGAUCCAGCCAUGCCGCGUGAAGGAUGACGGCCCUAUGGGUUGUAAACUUCUUUUAGCAGGGAAAAAACCCCUCGAUGCGUCGGGGGCUGAUGGUACCUGCAGAAUAAGGAUCGGCUAACUCCGUGCCAGCAGCCGCGGUAAUACGGAGGAUCCAAGCGUUAUCCGGAUUUAUUGGGUUUAAAGGGUGCGUAGGCGGAUAAAUAAGUCAGUGGUGAAAGCCUGCAGCUUAACUGUAGAAUUGCCAUUGAUACUGUUUAUCUUGAAUAUAGUUGAGGUGGGCGGAAUAUGACAUGUAGUGGUGAAAUACUUAGAUAUGUCAUAGAACACCGAUUGCGAAGGCAGCUCACUAAGCUAUGAUUGACGCUGAGGCACGAAAGCGUGGGGAGCAAA